This 442-nucleotide ribosomal RNA is filed under the name uncultured bacterium. RNAcentral's name for it is "partial 16S ribosomal RNA". It matches the Rfam family "Bacterial small subunit ribosomal RNA", at positions 339 to 795 of the family's 1533-position model. The record is from RNAcentral.
CUACGGGGGGCUGCAGUGGGGAAUAUUGGGCAAUGGGCGCAAGCCUGACCCAGCAACGCCGCGUGAGGGAAGAAGGUUCUCGGAUUGUAAACCUCUGUCCUUGGGGACGAAGAAAGCGACGGUACCCAAGGAGGAAGCUUCGGCUAACUACGUGCCAGCAGCCGCGGUAAUACGUAGGGAGCAAGCGUUGUCCGGAAUUACUGGGCGUAAAGGGUGCGUAGGCGGCAUAUUAAGUCAGGUGUGAAAUAUUCGGGCUCAACCCGAAGGGUGCAUUUGAAACUGGUAUGCUUGAGUGUGAGAGAGGAAAGUGGAAUUCCUAGUGUAGCGGUGAAAUGCGUAGAUAUUAGGAGGAACACCAGUGGCGAAGGCGACUUUCUGGCUCAUAACUGACGCUGAGGCACGAAAGCGUGGGUAGCAAACAGGAUUAGAUACCCGGGUAGUC